This 497-nucleotide ribosomal RNA is filed under the name uncultured bacterium. RNAcentral describes it as "partial 16S ribosomal RNA". It matches the Rfam family "Bacterial small subunit ribosomal RNA", at positions 28 to 507 of the family's 1533-position model. The record is from RNAcentral.
GAUGAACGCUGGCGGCGUGCCUAACACAUGCAAGUCGAGCGAACGGACGAGAAGCUUGCUCUUCUGAUGUUAGCGGCGGACGGGUGAGUAACACGUGGAUAACCUACCUCUAAGACUGGGAUAAUUACGGGAAAACGGAGCUACUACCGGCUAAUAUUUUGAACCGCUUGGUUCAAAAGUGAAAGAAGCUUUUGGCGUCAGUUAUAGACGAAUCCGGCCUGAAUUAGCUAGUUGGUAAGGUAACGGCUUACCAAGGCUACGAUGCAUAGCCGACCUGAGAGGGUGAUCGGCCAGACUGGAACUGAGACACGGUCCAGACUCCUACGGGAGGCAGCAGUGGGGAAUCUUCCGCAAUGGGCGAAAGCCUGACGGAGCAACGCCGCGUGAGUGAUGAAGGUCUUCGGGUCGUAAAACUCUGUUGUUAGGGAAGAACAGAUGUGUAAUUAACUGUGCACAUCUUGACGGUACCUAAUCAGAAAGCCACGGCUAACUACGUG